This 497-nucleotide ribosomal RNA is filed under the name uncultured bacterium. Its description in RNAcentral is "partial 16S ribosomal RNA". It matches the Rfam family "Bacterial small subunit ribosomal RNA", at positions 28 to 507 of the family's 1533-position model. The record is from RNAcentral.
GAUGAACGCUGGCGGCGUGCCUAAUACAUGCAAGUCGAGCGAACAGACGAGGCGCUUGCUCCUCUGACGUUAGCGGCGGACGGGUGAGUAACACGUGGCUAACCUACCUUUAAGGCUGGGAUAACUUCGGGAAACCGGAGCUAACACCGGAUAAUAUAGUGAACGGGAGGGAUCAUUAGAGAAAGAGGGAUUUGCUGUCACUUAUAGGUGGAUCCGCGCCGCAUUAGCUAGUUGGUAAGGUAACGGCCUACCAAGGCGACGAUGCGUAGCCGACCUGAGAGGGUGAUCAGCCACACUGGAACUGAGACACGGUCCAGACUCCUACGGGAGGCAGCAGUAGGGAAUCUUCCGCAAUGGGCGAAAGCCUGACGGAGCCACGCCGCGUGUGUGAAGAAGGUCUUCGGAUCGUAAAGCACUGUUAGUAGGGAAGAACAACUGUGUGAUUAACUCUGCCCGUCUUGACGUUACCUACUCAAAAAGCACCGGCUAACUUCGUG